AUGCCCGUAGGAUCCGAUAAUGACAGCAUGGAUGAUGAGAACAAAGUAAGCAUGUCUGGCGCUAAGCCUAGCGAGAUUGAUCCAUUUGACUUUGUCUACUCAAACAUACCAGACAACACUCACAUCCUGAAGCUCGCCGCAAACUGCAAAUACUGCAAGGCCAGAAAGUUUGAGUCUGAGACAGACGGUUUCUACUGUGGCAAUGGCCAGAUCAAACUUAAGCAAGCGGAACCAAUCCCAGAGCUGAUGAGGCUAUGGUCCAACAUGGAUGCAGAUUCUAGACAUUUUCGAGAGAACAUACAGUUCUUCAACAGGCAUUUCGCCUUCACAACCCUUGGCGUCAACCUUGAUGAAAACUACACAAAUAUCAAGUCUAGGGUGUACAUUCUGGGCACACGGCACCAUCUACCACAAUGUGCAUUCGUUUGGGCCUAG
RNAcentral lists this ribosomal RNA (435 nucleotides) under Triticum aestivum (bread wheat). RNAcentral's name for it is "partial small subunit ribosomal RNA". The record is from RNAcentral. Lineage: Eukaryota; Viridiplantae; Streptophyta; Magnoliopsida; Poales; Poaceae.